UACGUAGGGUGCAAGCGUUGUCCGGAAUUAUUGGGCGUAAAGAGCUCGUAGGCGGCUUGUCGCGUCGGCUGUGAAAACCUGGGGCUCAACCCCGGGCCUGCAGCCGAUACGGGCAAGCUAGAAUUCGGUAGGGGAGACUGGAAUUCCUGGUGUAGCGGUGAAAUGCGCAGAUAUCAGGAGGAACACCAGUGGCGAAGGCGGGUCUCUGGACAGUUCCUGACACUGAGACACGAAGGCCAGGGGAGCAAACGGG
RNAcentral lists this ribosomal RNA (253 nucleotides) under uncultured bacterium. RNAcentral's name for it is "partial 16S ribosomal RNA". It matches the Rfam family "Bacterial small subunit ribosomal RNA", at positions 524 to 776 of the family's 1533-position model. The record is from RNAcentral.